Molecule: transfer-messenger RNA, 86 nt
Filed under: Gluconobacter oxydans 621H
Lineage: Bacteria; Pseudomonadati; Pseudomonadota; Alphaproteobacteria; Acetobacterales; Acetobacteraceae
Description: transfer-messenger RNA Gluco_oxyda_621H
Rfam family: Alphaproteobacteria transfer-messenger RNA
About the family: Bacterial tmRNA, also known as 10Sa RNA or SsrA, is named for its dual tRNA and mRNA-like properties. Its role is to liberate the mRNA from a stalled ribosome. To accomplish this part of the tmRNA is used as a reading frame that ends in a translation stop signal.
Source: RNAcentral
GCAAGGGGUUCGUCCCCGGCUAUGGCGAUAAACGGUAAGUGAAAUAAGUGUUGUGGACCCGGGGGCAGUGCCCGGCGUCUCCACCA